Molecule: long non-coding RNA, 681 nt
Organism: Nerophis ophidion (straightnose pipefish)
Lineage: Eukaryota; Metazoa; Chordata; Actinopteri; Syngnathiformes; Syngnathidae
Exons: 3
Source: RefSeq, a predicted model, not a curated record
ACAUAUGUGUCACUGUGAAGCAGCAGUAGGGUGAAUAGAAGAAGAAGACCCAUUCAACCCUGGAAAAAAAAAUCGAAAUAAAUUGCAAAAAUCGGACUUUUAACAACAAAGUAUGAAUGUUCUACACCGAGCAAGUGCUUGAGUCAUUGUUUUCUGUCGGAUCUUUUAAGCGACGGACACAUUCAUCUAGACAAGUAGCAACAAUGGUAGAAAUCCCAGCUUGGAAGCUUCGUUACAAACCUUGGUGAAACAUUUUGGCUCCUGUCGUGGUGUUGCUGGCGGCGUGACCUCAGGUUGCAGAGAUGGACGUUGGUGUGCAGACAGCUGGAACAAGAUUCCAGCUGUUCCAGUUCCAGGGCAUCUUCCGCCGUCUGAUGGUUUGUUGUGGUGUCUCACAGAGUGAGACCAACAGUGUGGCGGACGAAGAUAACAUGGUGUCCUUCUGAGCAGUAGAGACGUCCUCUGCUGAAACUGUAGAAACAAAAACACCCAUCUCCAUUUGCCGAAAUUUCAGCCAUUGUGUGUGACCACAGUUAUCUUCUCACACGGGUUGCCGGUCUACUAGAAAAGACUGGUCUACAUAGCAGCGUCUGUAGUCUUGCAGAUACUACAGAAGCUGUCCUGUUUUGUGUGCUGUGUGAGGACAGCUACCACCUUGUAACAGUGAAAAACAUGAAUUAU